UAAUCACAGUGUUUAGUUUUUCAAUCUUAAUAUAAUGUAAUCAGGGUUAAGAUUAUUUAUAACGCGUACUGAUUUGGGGUGGUGACGGUGGGAAUAAAAUGUGCGAAAUCACAUCGUAAAACCUUUGAGAAAAAAAAUCAUUUUGAUAUGGACACUGUCUAAGUGCGCGGAUCUUCAUGAUCAACAUGCACAAGGGAUAGCCCAAACUUUUACCGAACACGUGGUUCUGUGUAUAGGACUGCCUGCUGAAGGACAGGAUCCUAAAAGCGUGUGUACAGGAGUGUCAGGGGAGAUCAACAGAAACACUCUCACACACGAGAAGAAACACUGUCAAGCCGCCCUGAAAGCGUCAAGACCGCAUUCGAAGGACACGAACAACAUACCAGCCACUACACUUCUCUCCAGAGCAGAUGGGUGUGAAAGAAAGUCAACUCAACAUUGCAAGACUUUCCUGCUGAAAUCUCAAACCACUGAAAUAGACCUUUUCAACGGAAGAUUUAUAAAGGAUAGUUGUUAUACUUAGCAAACUGCAGUGUUUACCAUGGAGCUUCUUCAGUUUUUGUCUAGGACAGAGAGCAGAGGCAUGUGAGAAGGUGGACCAGCUACAAGAGGAACAUUUAUUUUGGAUGAAAUGAAAUUAUUGUUUGGCCCUGUUGCUUGAAUCCUCUUACCUGUGGACAUAAAGUCAAGCUGCUGAAGCUUUCACAUUAUCUCACUGCUCUGAUGACUUUGACAUCCAAGGACAUAUUUCAGCGUAUUGGGUUCAGAGUCACUGUCUACGGAUCUGGAGUUAAUCCUUGUACUAGAGAACAGCUGGCAGUAUUUUUAGUUUAUUUCUGAUUUUAAACUGAUUAUAAAAUAGUAAAACAAAUGUAACCUGUUCACACUCUUUGGCUACACUAUUUACCUGUUAAUGUUAUCUUUAUGUUAUCAUUGCAAGCUAAAUGGUCAAUGUACACUGUAAACCCUAAUGUUGUCUUUACUUAUACAAUCAAGUAAUGUUGACUAAACAUUACUUAAAAUUUUGCAUUUUGCAUUUUGGACCCAUCACUUCAUUUAACUUAUUUACCAUCAAAAUGCAUAAACUUAAGAUUUCAAGUGUUGUGAGCUCAAAAUCAUGAUUAAUCCUUUGGAGGAAAAAACCUUUUCAAAAGGUCAAUUUUCACAAAUGUGAAUGUGGCGUGGGCGGGGCGGCGGCUGACGACCAGCAUGCUUUGCGGGAAUGUCGGUGUGUUCACCAUGUUGGGGAAGGGUGUUUGGGUUAGUGGCUUCGGCCCUGUUUGUGUGUGUGUGGGUAAGGGGUGAUGUGUGAAAGGUGCUCUGGUUCAUGCUGAGGCUGAAUUGGAUGGUGGUUCCUGUGUGAAUGUGCUGCUCAUGCCGUACAUGCUGUGUGCCUAAUAAAGUACUCUCCAACAUUCUUUCUGGUGGAAAAUUGUGGUAUUUUGUCAAUAAAAAAAAUCUAAGCUUAAAAAUGCUGUUCAUUGUUUUAUUUCAGUUCGGUGUGCACAAAGCUUGCAGUCAAAUAUAAG
This is a long non-coding RNA of Clarias gariepinus (North African catfish), 1529 nucleotides long. RefSeq lists it as uncharacterized. The transcript is spliced from 3 exons. NCBI's taxonomy places the organism in Eukaryota, Metazoa, Chordata, Actinopteri, Siluriformes, Clariidae. The record is from RefSeq and is a predicted model, not a curated record.